UUUUUUUUUUUUUUUUUUGUAGAGAUAGAGGCAAAUGGUGAGAGACUGAAAAUGCCAGCUCACCUCCUCCACUCACUCAUAAUUAAAUUGCAGCAGAAUGAAGUCAAUAAGGCCCAGAAUAUAAAGGGCCAACUACAGUGCACAUCAGGAGCAAAGGUCCAGCAGAGAAAAGGUGGAGUAUUUCAUGUUCUUAAAAUUGAGGGGGGAAUGUAAAUCAGAUUGAUUUCAGUACCAAGCAUCACCUGCCACAGAGUCAUUACAGAUAAGUAUAUUCCACACACUGUCAUUCAUUGUAACCCACUAUGGCAAUCGUCACUUGUGGAGAGGAAUCUGACAUUCUUGUAAUCUCCCUCCAGCAAGUCUGAAGGGUAUAGUUAUUUUAUUCAGUAGAUUCAAAAUGUCCCAAAGCAAGUUUUAAGCAUUUGGCACUCAAGAUUUCUUUUAAGUUAGCGUAUAAUUAUCUCAGUUUUGGUUUCAACUUUUUUUUGUCAUCCUCACAAAAUUCUGUUAUCACUUCAUGCCAGAAGAGAUCUACCACCAGCCCGAGCACUGAAACACUUGAAAAUUUGACUUUAUACUUUGGCUAAAAUGACUGUAUACAAAAAUAGACCUCAAUACAAGUGAUACUUCCACUGCCUCAUCCUGUGAAACACAUGAAACAUAUGCUCAUUAGUUACAGGAACCAAUUUAAAUGAUAAUGUUUUCAAAUGGCCAACAUCGAAUAAACGUAGGGAGUAAACAUCAUCACAACAUGGCAAACAAGCUCUGAAGUGCAGCUGAGUGUGAAGGUGAUUGUCAAGGGACAAAGCUAGUGGGUACAGGCUACAAUAAAAAGGCGAUGUAAAGGUGUGUACAGGGGGAAAGAGGAGAACACAGUUGAUGCUGAAAUCCUCAUAUCCUGCUCUGUGUGAAUAUAAACUGUUUUGGUAAGCUAUUUAGAAGGACAGACAACAGGAGAACCAGAAAAUCUCAUUGUUAAAAUCAACAGCUGUCAGAGUUAAAUGUAUUUUUAUAAUCCAGUGUCUUGAACCUACACUUACGAUGGAAGAAACAGGCCAUAGGCAAUUCUGUGUAUUUUAACAAGUGACUUAUUAAACAUGAUUGACUAGAUUGGGCAGAAGUCAGAUGAAAUACACAGAGCUGCUUUUGUGCUUCUUGCUGACAGUAGAUUUCAGU
This is a long non-coding RNA of Talpa occidentalis (Iberian mole), 1176 nucleotides long. RefSeq lists it as uncharacterized. The transcript is spliced from 3 exons. NCBI's taxonomy places the organism in Eukaryota, Metazoa, Chordata, Mammalia, Eulipotyphla, Talpidae. The record is from RefSeq and is a predicted model, not a curated record.